UCGAUGGUGGGGUGGGGAACGAGAAGGGGUUCCAAUAUCCUCGACGAAACCGCCGCCACAUUCAGGGCAAAGGAUCGAAUCAUGGGUUGCCCGAACCCUGACCGAUGAAACGGCUGCAUCUGUAGCACCAAAAAGAAGAUUCCAUUGAAGCCAUUCAGUCAAGAAUCAGACUCUUGAAGUCCUCUUUACGCCGCGGCAACGCUGUAGC
This 208-nucleotide unclassified non-coding RNA is filed under the name Hevea brasiliensis (rubber tree). The record is from RNAcentral. Lineage: Eukaryota; Viridiplantae; Streptophyta; Magnoliopsida; Malpighiales; Euphorbiaceae.